GACGUAGGGGGCGAGCGUUGUCCGGAUUCAUUGGGCGUAAAGCGCGCGUAGGCGGCUCGGUAAGUCGGUUGUGAAAUCCUGGGGCUCAACCCCAGGACUGCGUCCGAUACUGCCGGGCUAGAGGUAGGUAGGGGAGAUCGGAAUUCCUGGUGUAGCGGUGAAAUGCGCAGAUAUCAGGAGGAACACCGGUGGCGAAGGCGGAUCUCUGGGCCUUACCUGACGCUCAGGCGCGAAAGCUAGGGGAGCAAAC
RNAcentral lists this ribosomal RNA (250 nucleotides) under uncultured bacterium. RNAcentral's name for it is "partial 16S ribosomal RNA". It matches the Rfam family "Bacterial small subunit ribosomal RNA", at positions 524 to 773 of the family's 1533-position model. The record is from RNAcentral.